GGUGUUAGUGAACCUCAGGAGUGUAUGUGACAGAGGUGUUAGUGAACCCCAGGAGUGUAUGUGACAGAGAUGUUAGUUAGUGCACCUCAGGAGUGUAUGUGACAGACGUGUGAACCUCAGGAGUGUAUGUGGCAGAGGUGUUAGUGAACCUCAGGAGUGUGUGUGACAGAGGUGUUAGUGAACCUCAGGAGUGUGUGUGACAGAGGUGUUAGUGAACCUCAGGGGUGUAUGUGACAGAGGUGUUAGUGAACCUCAGGAGUGUAUGUGACAGAGGUGUUAGUGAACCUCAGGAGUGUAUGUGACAGAGGUGUUAGUGAACCUCAGGAGUGUAUGUGACAGAGGUAUUAGUGAACCCCAGGAGUGUAUGUGACAGAGGUGUUAGUGAACCUCAGGAGUGUAUGUGACAGAGGUGUUAGUGAACCUCAGGAGUGUGUGUGACAGAGGUGUUAGUGAACCUCAGGAGUGUGUGUGACAGAGGUGUUAGUGAACCUCAGGAGUGUGUGUGG
Molecule: long non-coding RNA, 506 nt
Filed under: Mus musculus (house mouse)
Lineage: Eukaryota; Metazoa; Chordata; Mammalia; Rodentia; Muridae
Description: ilncRNA-EC16
Source: RNAcentral